This 254-nucleotide ribosomal RNA is filed under the name uncultured bacterium. Its description in RNAcentral is "partial 16S ribosomal RNA". It matches the Rfam family "Bacterial small subunit ribosomal RNA", at positions 524 to 776 of the family's 1533-position model. The record is from RNAcentral.
UACAGAGACCCCGAGCAUUAUCCGGAUUUAUUGGGCGUAAAGCGUUCGUAGGCGGUUUUAUAAGUCAUUCGUUAAAUCUUCAGGCUCAACUUGGAGGCAGCGGCUGAUACUGUAAGACUUGAGUAUGGGAGAGGCAGAUGGAAUGCCCGGUGUAGCGGUAAAAUGCGUUAAUAUCGGGUAGAACACCAAAGGCGAAAGCAAUCUGCUGGAACAUUACUGACGCUCAGUGAACGAAAGCGUGGGGAGCGAAAGGG